This 442-nucleotide ribosomal RNA is filed under the name uncultured bacterium. Its description in RNAcentral is "partial 16S ribosomal RNA". It matches the Rfam family "Bacterial small subunit ribosomal RNA", at positions 338 to 795 of the family's 1533-position model. The record is from RNAcentral.
CCUACGGGUGGCAGCAGUGGGGAAUAUUGGGCAAUGGGCGCAAGCCUGACCCAGCAACGCCGCGUGAAGGAAGAAGGCUUUCGGGUUGUAAACUUCCUUUGUCAGGGAAGAGUAGAAGACGGUACCUGACGAAUAAGCCACGGCUAACUAAGUGCCAGCAGCCACGGUAAUACGUAGGUGGCAAGCGUUGUCCGGAUUUACUGGGGGUAAAGGGCGUGUAGCCGGGUUGACAAGUCAGAUGUGAAAUCCUGCGGCUUAACCGCAGAACUGCAUUUGAAACUGUUUAUCUUGAGUACGCGAGAGGCAGACGGAAUUCCUAGUGUAGCGGUGAAAUGCGUAGAUAUUAGGAGGAACACCAGUGGCGAAGGCGGUCUGCUGGACAGCAACUGACGGUGAGGCGCGAAAGCGUGGGGAGCGAACAGGAUUAGAUACCCUUGUAGUC